CUAUGGUUGGAGUCCACCGUAGGGAGCGUGGAUGGAGCUCCCUACAGCAGUAAAAUAUCUAAAAGAUUACGAAUGGAUAAGAUUAAUUUUUAAGGCCACCAAAGAAUCUUUUACAGAUGUUGUGCUAUUGAGUGUAGUAUAAAAUAAAUAAGUAAUUAUAUAUUUAUAAAAAUAUUGAUUGAUUAUUCCCGUAACAAUUGGGAAUUCUACUCUCAAAAUUGUUGACGAGUAUGUCUACCUUGGACAAACAAGCCAGUGAUGUCGGUUCACUUUCGCAAAAGAGGAGUAGGAUGCGCGGGAAACUCCGUAAAAUCCUCUCGUCCCAAAUGCCAUAGUGUCUUCAGAUGAAUGGUUUUACACGGGGACACCAGUGUGUGUUGCCAGUGAUGACUUACGGUACUCAAACGUGGUUGCCUUAUGCUCAUGAAAGAAGUAAAGGUGGGCAGGACAGGCUCAUUCGACAGAGACUGGGGCAGUUAACGACCAUGAAACGGAAGACGCGGUGUUGGUAGGCUGAUCCCCACAAGAUGAUCGCUGAAACUAGUCCAUACUCAAAUCGGGAUCUUUUAUGCUUCUGAUGAUGAGGGUUCCCUUCAAAUAUUUCUGCAGUCAAAAAUGAAAAAUAAGGUGAAUUUGGUCAAUAUCUGGUUUAGAAGCAUUAUUCAGCCGGCAAUUAACAUGAGGGCCAUAUUUCACCGAGACACCACGGUAGCGCUACCAAUCGCUACGCAGACCGAAAGCUACCAAACAAGGCACCAUAUCGACACCAGAGUCAUGACGCGUUCAAGCUGGUCACACCACCACAUUGAAUGUCAACCAAACGGACACCAGAUUUCCUACAUUUGAAGUUCAGAUGGAUGGAACCAUACCCGAAAAUCGACACUAGAGGAAUACAAACCGGGAACGCUGUAUUGUCAUAUAAAACAUUAAAAAAAAGUUUUUUUUUGUGGUAAAACAUAGAUUAUGACCGAUUCUCAGAGCUACCAAAUUUACAUAUAAAAUAUCAUAAAAAUCUAUCUAGCGGUUUCGGAGGAAUAUGGCAACUAACAUUGUGAACCGAGAAUUUUAUAUUUAAAAAGAACUAAAAUCUAAACUAAUAAAUGCGCUCUACAUUUUUCCAUCGGUUAUACUGCGAAAACUGCUAAACCGAUUGGAAUAAAAUUUAUAUCAUAAGAUGCAGCCUAUUUCGAAGAAUAUUUUAGUAUACGUUUGUAAUUUCCUUCAAACCUUAAAACCUUCUUAUCCGGAACUCAUAUUUUAUUGACUUAGAAAUCUAUUCAUCUAAUUUUCUAUAUAUAUUUAAUGAAAAUGAUCUUUGUUUGAGGCUCGAUCACGCUUAAACCACUGAUCAUAUCGACAUGAAACUACCACCAUUCAAUGCAAAAUGUAUCCUAGAUGGUUUAUGGGUUAAAUAGCCUAUACUUUUUUUUCGAAUUCCGGCGGCUAAUACAUAUAUAUUUUCAAUACAAAUACUUCAGACAAUGACGUUCAUUACAUAAUAUGAUAAUUCAUACAAUGAGCGGGCGCGGAGUACUUAAUUUAUAUGGCAAUACGUUUUCCAAGUCCACACUUGUGUUAUAAUAAACCACCUGUUGAAAGCUGGAAAUAUAAGCUUUUAAAAUAGUAUCACAAGAGCCGACCUAAAAAGCGGUGCGAGUCAACGAUUUUACUUAUUGUGCCAACGAGACUAAACCUAUAAAACAUAAAUUUUAUUAUUGAAUUGGGAAUACAAAAAAUCAAA
This is a long non-coding RNA of Leptidea sinapis, 1741 nucleotides long. RefSeq lists it as uncharacterized. The record is from RefSeq and is a predicted model, not a curated record. The transcript has 4 exons. Lineage: Eukaryota; Metazoa; Arthropoda; Insecta; Lepidoptera; Pieridae.